Molecule: microRNA precursor, 78 nt
Filed under: Cebus imitator (Panamanian white-faced capuchin)
Lineage: Eukaryota; Metazoa; Chordata; Mammalia; Primates; Cebidae
Description: miRNA (ENSCCAG00000006646.1)
Source: RNAcentral
AGCUAGAUCUUCUGGAUAACAUGCUGAAGCUUCUACCUCAGUUAGCACUUGUUUCAGCAUGUUAUCUGGAAGAUCUAG